Molecule: ribosomal RNA, 489 nt
Filed under: uncultured bacterium
Lineage: Bacteria
Description: partial 16S ribosomal RNA
Rfam family: Bacterial small subunit ribosomal RNA
Source: RNAcentral
AUCGAACGCUGGCGGCAGGCCUAACACAUGCCAGUCGAACGGUAACAGGAAACAGCUUGCUGUUUCGCUGACGAGUGGCGGACGGGUGAGUAAUGUCUGGGAAACUGCCUGAUGGAGGGGGAUAACUACUGGAAACGGUAGCUAAUACCGCAUAACGUCGCAAGCCCAAAGAGGGGGACCUUCGGGCCUCUUUCCAUCGGAUGUGCCCAGAUGGGAUUAGCUAGUAGGUGGGGUAACGGCUCACCUAGGCGACGAUCCCUAGCUGGUCUGAGAGGAUGACGAGCCACACUGGAACUGAGACACGGUCCAGACUCCGACGGGAGGCAGCAGUGGGGAAUAUUGCACAAGGGGCGAAAGCCUGAUGCAGCCAUGCCGCGUGUAUGAAGAAGGCCUUCGGGUUGUAAAGUACUUUCAGCGGGGAGGAAGGGAGUAAAGUUAAUACCUUUACUCAUGGACGUUACCCGCAGAAGAAGCACCGGCUAAUUCCGU